AGAGUUUGAUCAUGGCUCAGAUUGAACGCUGGCGGCAGGCCUAACACAUGCAAGUCGAACGGUAACAGGAAACAGCUUGCUGUUUCGCUGACGAGUGGCGGACGGGUGAGUAAUGUCUGGGAAACUGCCUGAUGGAGGGGAUAACUACUGGAAACGGUAGCUAAUACCGCAUAACGUCGCAAGACCAAAGAGGGGGACCUUCGGGCCUCUUGCCAUCAGAUGUGCCCAGAUGGGAUUAGCUAGUAGGUGGGGUAACGGCUCACCUAGGCGACGAUCCCUAGCUGGUCUGAGAGGAUGACCAGCCACACUGGAACUGAGACACGGUCCAGACUCCUACGGGAGGCAGCAGUGGGGAAUAUUGCACAAUGGGCGCAAGCCUGAUGCAGCCAUGCCGCGUGUAUGAAGAAGGCCUUCGGGUUGUAAAGUACUUUCAGCGGGGAGGAAGGGAGUAAAGUUAAUACCUUUGCUCAUUGACGUUACCCGCAGAAGAAGCACCGGCUAACUCCGUGCCAGCAGCCGCGGUAAUACGGAGGGUGCAAGCGUUAAUCGGAAUUACUGGGCGUAAAGCGCACGCAGGCGGUUUGUUAAGUCAGAUGUGAAAUCCCCGGGCUCAACCUGGGAACUGCAUCUGAUACUGGCAAGCUUGAGUCUCGUAGAGGGGGGUAGAAUUCCAGGUGUAGCGGUGAAAUGCGUAGAGAUCUGGAGGAAUACCGGUGGCGAAGGCGGCCCCCUGGACGAAGACUGACGCUCAGGUGCGAAAGCGUGGGGAGCAAACAGGAUUAGAUACCCUGGUAGUCCACGCCGUAAACGAUGUCGACUUGGAGGUUGUGCCCUUGAGGCGUGGCUUCCGGAGCUAACGCGUUAAGUCGACCGCCUGGGGAGUACGGCCGCAAGGUUAAAACUCAAAUGAAUUGACGGGGGCCCGCACAAGCGGUGGAGCAUGUGGUUUAAUUCGAUGCAACGCGAAGAACCUUACCUGGUCUUGACAUCCACGGAAGUUUUCAGAGAUGAGAAUGUGCCUUCGGGAACCGUGAGACAGGUGCUGCAUGGCUGUCGUCAGCUCGUGUUGUGAAAUGUUGGGUUAAGUCCCGCAACGAGCGCAACCCUUAUCCUUUGUUGCCAGCGGUCCGGCCGGGAACUCAAAGGAGACUGCCAGUGAUAAACUGGAGGAAGGUGGGGAUGACGUCAAGUCAUCAUGGCCCUUACGACCAGGGCUACACACGUGCUACAAUGGCGCAUACAAAGAGAAGCGACCUCGCGAGAGCAAGCGGACCUCAUAAAGUGCGUCGUAGUCCGGAUUGGAGUCUGCAACUCGACUCCAUGAAGUCGGAAUCGCUAGUAAUCGUGGAUCAGAAUGCCACGGUGAAUACGUUCCCGGGCCUUGUACACACCGCCCGUCACACCAUGGGAGUGGGUUGCAAAAGAAGUAGGUAGCUUAACCUUCGGGAGGGCGCUUACCACUUUGUGAUUCAUGACUGGGGUGAAGUCGUAACAAGGUAACCGUAGGGGAACCUGCGGUUGGAUCACCU
This 1529-nucleotide ribosomal RNA is filed under the name Escherichia coli. RNAcentral describes it as "bacterial SSU rRNA". It matches the Rfam family "Bacterial small subunit ribosomal RNA". The record is from RNAcentral. Lineage: Bacteria; Pseudomonadati; Pseudomonadota; Gammaproteobacteria; Enterobacterales; Enterobacteriaceae.